AUCCCUUCUUGGCCUUUUGGCUAAGAUCAAGUGU
RNAcentral lists this small nuclear RNA (34 nucleotides) under Cervus elaphus hippelaphus. Lineage: Eukaryota; Metazoa; Chordata; Mammalia; Artiodactyla; Cervidae. The record is from RNAcentral.